AGUGGCACGCCUACAUGUAUAUAUAGGAAAAGGGAAUAGCACACGCCUGGUGUGCUUCCCUGUAAAAACAUUGAAGUUGAAGGGUUAUUUCUGUCAUUUCCCUUUUCUGCAUCAAUUCUAACGCCUCCUCCAUUGUUAACCAUGGGCCAUCUCCAUCUGCUCUCUCCUCUUCUUCUCUUCUCCUUCAUAGUUGUGUCCAGCACCGCCACCCACCUCCAAUUUGGCCGACCGCCAUCUUCGCACCUCGGUUCUCCUCUCCUCUUUGCUUGUUCUAAAUUUUGCACUUUGGUGGAGUCUACAGCUGCUUCCUAUAUCAGUGAGUGCAACUACUACUCCCCACAGGGAACAUGCAGGUCAGUGUAUACUGGGAGAAACCUACUCUUUUUUCAAAAAAUAACAAGAUGUUUUGAUCUAACCCUUAUUCACUGGCACUAUCACCUGAUUCACCAUUCUCAGUUGAAAAUUGACAAUACCAGGGCAUUAUUCGUAGCUAAUCCUUUUUUAUAGUAAGCAAAACAAGUCCAUUCAAGAGGCAAAUGUUAUUUAUCAGUGUGUUAUUUGCCAAGUUGAUAAACAUGCUAUUUUCAACGGGUUAUCGUUUAUCCAAUACAACAACAAAUGUUACACUUUGUACAUGCCUUAUGAAGAGUAGGCAGUUCAAACUAUGUCAAAUAGUUAAUUCAACUGCCUACGCCUACUGACGACAACAGACAACAGCCACAAUAUUUGAUUAUGAGUGAAUCUAAUAAGUUUAAUUUUUCAUUCUAAAACAAUACUACUACAACCCUUUUUUGCCUCUCAUUUCCAAAAUGGUUGUUCCCAAACAAAAUACGUCCUGCAGACCAACCAAGAUGCAUACUCAACUCAAUCACUAAAAUGCUCCACUUUACUUAUGAGCAUAACAUAUUGUAAUAACCUUCCCAGUGAUUUUGUUUUUGUUGGGCCCGGGAAACCCUUACUAGUAUAUAUAUAUGUUUUUUUUCAUUUAAAAUUUUCGAGUUUUGGGCUAAAUUCAUCCCUUAACUAUGACUAAGGCUUAGGUUACUAUAAUAGUUAACAAGAAACAUCCUUUUAGUAUUUAAAAUAUAACAAAACUCAGUCUUCUGUCUAUUUCAGUUAAAAAACUAACAUUGCUUUUGCAAAAAGUGAUUUUCUCUCUCCCAUAUCCCUAUUUUGCCCCUCUUAAAUCUAUCCCAUCGUCUUCCAUAUUCAGCUAAACCAAGAAGGAAACUCAAUAUUUUCUGAACUUCACAAAAUAAUCAAGAUCAAAAACAAUUUUUUCUCUUCAACAAGAGUUGAAAACAGGGCAGAGGGCUAUACACAAACUAGAUAUUGUGGGUUGCAGCAUAACAACUAAUCGGAACCAUGUUGCUUCGAAGUUUAAGUGGUUGAUCGUCCACACCCAACUAUGUUGGCGAGAUGAAGAGACUAAUGUAAACUAGUGAGGAGCAUAGACAAGCAAGCAGAGCCUACCCAUCGUGUGAUUCGAACAUUCUCAAAAAUGGUUGAUCUAGAAGCACAACUUCAAGAUUAUUACAAGAAUUAGAAGCAAUUGGCGAAGAACUAUCUAUGGUUAAACAAGAUAAACAAAACUGGAAGUUGCAAAGGGAACAUAAUGAGAAAUUGAUAUAGCAGUGGAAGUAGUUGUUUUAUGUUAUGUUAAACUCACUUGAACUUCUUGUAUUAAAUUCAUUAUGUAUGUUCUUCAAGUUCAAUAAAAAGCAUUUGGUA
RNA transcript from Solanum tuberosum (potato), 1731 nucleotides. RefSeq lists it as uncharacterized. The record is from RefSeq and is a predicted model, not a curated record. The transcript is spliced from 6 exons. NCBI's taxonomy places the organism in Eukaryota, Viridiplantae, Streptophyta, Magnoliopsida, Solanales, Solanaceae.